CAUUCAUCUACUUUUUCCAGUGAGGACCUCGGGGCCCAGAGCCGUGGAGGAAAUUGCCCCAGACUUUACAAGGUGUUCUCAGAAAUACCAGGCCUAGAAGGCAUUUCUCCCAGCUUUUUCUCCACGGUCUUUCCUGUUUUCCUCUUUCUCCACCCCCAAAGUUUCCCCUGCAUCCCUGGGCCUGCCUGUUAGAGUCUAGGCUUCCUAGGGCACCGCUGGAGGAGGGGAAAGGGCCAAGUGACACUGGGAGAAAUUCCUGGCCUUGUAGUGAUGUAGCCACAGUCUCCUGGGCGCCCCAGGCCUCCCCUCCUCCAGCUCCUCUCUCUCUGGCUGCUCCGUCUCCAGCUCAGCAGGUUGACCGGAUCUGGGUUUGGAUCUAGACUUGCCCCUUGUCACUCUCCUGGAAGUGGGAAGAGGUCAGCCAGGCCCAGCCCAGCCCCUGAAGGAGGCCGACCCAUGGGAACCAGAAUAUUUCCUAAUCCUGGGAAGCCCUGACAGGCCCCUGCGAGCAGUCUUCCUUCCGCCUCACCCCAAGUCCUCUCCGUGCUCCCUCUUCAGGGCCCCUCCCUCUGCGCCCUUCAUUCUUCUCCAGCCCAGAAGCUGUUGUGACGGUGACUCGGCCUCCACUCCUCCUGGCCCCUCCUCGCCAGGGACUUCCCUGGGGUGGGCCUCUCACCAGCUUUGGAAAAUCUGGGCUGUUUGUGAUCAAACAGGAGGCUGCCUCACUGCACGCCCCAGGCUCGCUCUCUCUGUUAGAGGCCCGACCACAGAAAGGUCCAGCUGGCUCUGGAGGAGAGCAGGUGGGAGAGCCCGCCCCCGCGACAGGUGCUUUGGCCCUGACCUUGAGGGGUGAUCCCAAGGGAGGCAGGGGCAGACUCCCACCUGGUCUCCCCAUCUAGCCUCAGAUCACCCCAAGCCCACACACUCACCCGCCAACCCUCACAGACACGUAUUCAUGGAACAACCCAGACACACUCAGACACCCACAGGCAUACUCACAAACACAUAAACAGGCUCACACACUUUCGUUCCCACGGUCCCACACACAGGCACCUGGGGGGACCUGACACACGCUCACAAACACACACACACACCUGCCCUCACCCUUGCCCGCCUACUCCCUCGUCUUGGGAAAAGGAUAAGCCCAACAUUGAUCGUUCUUUUCCUUCCUUUUGGAAAACCUGGCAGGGACUAGAGAGAAAAAGGCGAGCUGAGAAGGCCGGGCAAGAAGAGGAGGGCAGGAAGAGGAAAUCGGAAAUGGAGGAAGAGAAGGCAAGAGGGCAAGGAAAAAGCCCAUUCUGGAUAAGCCGUGAGAUCCUGCUGUUACAGCACUGCGAACUGUAUCUAGUCACUUAUGAUGGAGCGUGAUAAUGUGAGAAAAAGAAUGUGUAAUGUAGGUGUCACCGGGUCACCUUGCUGCACAGCAGAAAAUUGACAGAACGUUGUAAACCAGCUAUAAUGGAAAAAAUAAACAUCAUUUAUCUAGUCUCAAAAAAAAAAAGAAAAGAAAAGAAAAGAAAAAGCCCGUUUCUUCCCUCUGCGCUGGGUCUUGCUGGGAUGUUGAGUGACCCUAGAGACCCCCCCACCAAUGAGCCUCGCUGCUCUGCGCUAACUCCUGAGCCUGGCUUCCCCAUCCUCAGCCUCAGUGAUCCCUUGCUGCAAAAUGGGGACAGUGCGUCCUGUUUUGCCCACCUCCUGUGAUGGUAGUGAAAAUAAAUCGGUAGCGGGAGUUCCCCAAUGGCCAAGCAGUUGAGGAUCUAGCAUUGUCCUCGCUGUGGCUCGGCUCACUGCUGUGGCGCAGAUUUGAUCUCUGGCUCAGGAGUUUCUGCAUGCUGCGGGCACAGCCAAAAGAAAAAAAAGAGAGAGAGAGAGAGUUUACGGACAUCCCUUGUAAACGAUUGACUGUUUACAAAUAUAAGGUCUCAGUUCAUCAUUUGCUGAACAAAUGCCUGGGUAGGGGACGGAUGGGGACCAUCGAGAUGAGCUGGACUUUCUCCAUCAUUCCUGCCUGAUUCUGGGGUUUCUUUAUUCUUACACAACAUCAUAGACAUAGGGAUGGACUAGUCAGACCCAUGUCCUGCCCACUUAGAGCUCAAAGACUCUGGGGCUCCCCUGUCCAGUCCAGUAGUCAUCAGCCCACAUGUGGCUAUUUAAAUAUAAACUCGGAGUUCCUGCUGUGGCUUAGUGGUAAUGAACCCGACUAGUAUUCAUGAGGAUG
Molecule: long non-coding RNA, 2218 nt
Filed under: Sus scrofa (pig)
Lineage: Eukaryota; Metazoa; Chordata; Mammalia; Artiodactyla; Suidae
Description: lncRNA (ENSSSCG00005025216.1)
Source: RNAcentral